AUUUGCAUGUCGUUUGCAUCUCAUUUGCAUGCGCCGCGCCCUCCCCCCGCCCCGUCGGGGAAGCCCCGCGGUGGGCGUGGCCGGCUCGCUCCCAGGCGGGCUGUGAUUGGUUGGUUGCGGGUGUGGGCGGGGCUUAGGAGCGCCGGUUGCACGCGGUGGGGCCCACCGGUGUGGCCGCUUUAAGGGUCGCUCCUCCCGCCCCCUCGGAGCGGGGAUUGGCUGGCUUUGCCGCCUUCCCUCAUGCUAUUGGGCAGCGCGGCCGUCAGGCAGCGGGGGCGGCUCCCGCUUCUUCCGGCUGGGGAAGCGGGCGUUGCCUAGCAACGCGGCAACCCAGGCCUGAGGCCUAGGCCCAGGCCCAGGUUGAUUGUUAUUGCUGGCGUUUUAAUUCGUAUUUUGUAGUGUUUUGUAUUGCCAGCAUCGCUACUGCUAUUAGCUUAUGUUAUUGUUAUUUAUAUUAUUUGUUAUAUUAUUUAUGUUAUAUAUAACAUUAUUAUUUUACAUCAUUAUUGCCAUUACCAUUAUAUUACCAUCAUCUUCCUCAUUAGUAUUGUUAUCGUUAUAUUACCAUCAUCAUCCUCAUUAUUGUUACCAUUACAUUACCAUCAUCCUCAUCCUCCUCAUUAUCGUUGCCAUUACAUUACCACCAUCCUCACCCUUAUCAUUCCCACUAUUAUAUUAUUAUCAUCUUCAUCACCCUCACCACCCCCUGUUGUUACCGUUCUAUUACGUUCACAAUAUUAUCGUUAUCGUCGCGUUAUUGCCAUCCUCACCCUCAUUCUCCUCAUCAUUCUCAGUACAUCCUUACCACCCUCCUCAUCCUCAUCAUUACCGUUACAUUACCACCACUCUCUCCCCCCACUGUUAUUAUCACUGCCGUUAUAUUAUUACCACCACCACCCUCCCCCUCCCCACCCUCACCGUUACUGUUCUAUCUCCCCUCUCCCCCUCCAUCUCCCUCCCCGCCAUCCUGCCCCCUAUGUCCCCGCUCCCCUUCCCACCCCAGUGCCCGCUCCCCCCCGGUGCAGCCCCGGAGGUGUCCAGGAAGCUCUGUGGGCUCGCCGCCCUCCUGGUGCCCACCACUUUCCCAUCCUCUCAAAUUUCGGGAGCGCCACGUUGAUUUAAUUUUAAUUUCCCCGGGCCUGAGCCACGUCCCGUGUCCCCGUCAGCCAUCUGGGCCCCGGCUCGUUACGGCGUGGCGCUGUAGCACGGGCAGUGAGGAGGGACACCCCAGAGCCACAAGAUGCAUGUUGGAGGGUGGUAGAGGCACGAGGAAGGCCGGCCGUGCCCCCUCGCAUCACUGCGUUUGCCCAGAUCCUGCCUAGGAGCGCUGCGCGCCCUUCUAACACCACUGCCGGGUGCAGGUCCCGUGGCCGUGUCCCCGUGGGGCACUCGGUGACAAGAGACGUGGCACUCUGCGUGCCACAUCGCGGCUCCUGCCGGCCUCCACACACCGACAGCCCGGCCAGGAGUCACCUCCACCGGGGGUGCCAAGGCGCAGAAAACGGGUGGGUGCAGCCCCCUGGGUGUCCCCGUCCCCGUGUGUGGGCGGCUGGGGGGCACCCCACAACGCACACAAGGGGAUCGGGGCCACGUCUCGGGGCUCUCCCCUCGCCCCCGUGGCGAUGAUGGGACGCGGGGGGUGGGCACGUGCCGGGCGCGCUCCCCCACCGCCAGGCGCUGCUGGCCCGCGCCGCCCCCGCGCCGAGCGCCCGUGGCUUUUUAUGGGCAGAGCGCGGUUGUUUGCAGCUUCCUGGCCUCUAAGAUCAUCCGCAGCACCCAGGCGGCCGCGCUGACGAGGGGCCGCGGAGCGAGGGGCCCGCCGGCACCGCUACCGGCGCGCUGCUGACCUCGGGGACGCUCCCGGGCCCCGUGAGGAGCAGCAGCAGCAGCAGCACGGCCAUGGGUAGAAGUGCCGGGGCCAGCGCCCGCAGCGGGCGAUUCCACAAGAAAACGCCGGAAUCGAGCAGAGUUGGAGUGCCGCUGAACUGGAAUUAAUUUCAGGCCCCCUGCUCGCUGACUGAGCUCGAGGUUCCUGGUUUAAGCAGCCUUAAUUAAAUCAAUCUGCUCCGGGAGCAGGAAUUCCCCCUGAUUUUUUCUCUCUGGGAGCGCCGGCAGGC
This 2117-nucleotide long non-coding RNA is filed under the name Anser brachyrhynchus (Pink-footed goose). RNAcentral's name for it is "lncRNA (ENSABRG00000006628.1)". The record is from RNAcentral. Lineage: Eukaryota; Metazoa; Chordata; Aves; Anseriformes; Anatidae.